CCCUUAGAUGUUCUGGGCCGCACGCGCGCUACACUGACGAAUGCAACGAGCUUAUAACCUUGGCCGAAAGGUCUGGGUAAUCUCCAAAUUUCGUUGUGAUGGGGAUAGAUUAUUGCAAUUAUUAAUCUUCAACGAGGAAUGCCUAGUAAGCGCAAGUCAUCAGCUUGCGUUGAUUACGUCCCUGCCCUUUGUACACACCGCCCGUCGCUCCUACCGAUUGAAUGGUCCGGUGAAGCGUUCGGACCGUGGCCUUUGGACGGUUCGCCGUCUGUUGGCUGCGGGAAGUUCGUUAAACCUUAUCAUUUAGAGGAAGGAGAAGUCGUAACA
Molecule: ribosomal RNA, 327 nt
Filed under: uncultured eukaryote
Lineage: Eukaryota
Description: partial 18S ribosomal RNA
Rfam family: Eukaryotic small subunit ribosomal RNA
Source: RNAcentral